GAUGAAGAACGCAGCGAAAUGCGAUAAGUAAUGUGAAUUGCAGAAUUCAGUGAAUCAUCGAAUCUUUGAACGCACAUUGCGCCCGUCAGUAUUCUGGCGGGCAUGCCUGUUCGAGCGUCAUUACGCCCCUCAAGUCCCCUGUGGACUUGGUGUUGGGGAUCGGCGAGGCUGGUUUUCCAGCACAGCCGUCCCUUAAAUUAAUUGGCGGUCUCGCCGUGGCCCUCCUCUGCGCAGUAGUAAAACACUCGCAACAGGAGACCGGCGCGGUCCACUGCCGUAAAACCCCCCAACUUUUUAUAGUUGACCUCGAAUCAGGUAGGACUACCCGCUGAACUUAAGCAUAUCAAUAGCGGAGGA
RNAcentral lists this unclassified non-coding RNA (357 nucleotides) under soil metagenome. RNAcentral's name for it is "partial contains 5.8S ribosomal RNA, internal transcribed spacer 2, and large subunit ribosomal RNA". The stretch from base 1 to 120 matches the Rfam family "5.8S ribosomal RNA", at positions 35 to 154 of the family's 154-position model. The record is from RNAcentral.